Non-coding RNA from Schistosoma rodhaini, 197 nucleotides. Lineage: Eukaryota; Metazoa; Platyhelminthes; Trematoda; Strigeidida; Schistosomatidae. The record is from Rfam.
AUUGGUUCUGUUAUCAUUAGAUGUAGUAUCUGUGUAGUAUUUGUCCAUUGCAGUGUAAUUUCUGCAACGGUCUCUAAACUGAGACCAAUAAAAUUACCUGUAUUUUUCACCUCCGGAUGGGUGCUGUGAGCUUGCUCAACUACGUCCACGGGUCGGCCUCGUAUUUCAUUGCCUCGAGAAUCAUUGGUUCAUAUGAA